GUCGAGCGGCAGCACGGGUACUUGUACCUGGUGGCGAGCGGCGGACGGGUGAGUAAUGCCUAGGAAUCUGCCUGGUAGUGGGGGAUAACGCUCGGAAACGGACGCUAAUACCGCAUACGUCCUACGGGAGAAAGCAGGGGACCUUCGGGCCUUGCGCUAUCAGAUGAGCCUAGGUCGGAUUAGCUAGUUGGUGAGGUAAUGGCUCACCAAGGCGACGAUCCGUAACUGGUCUGAGAGGAUGAUCAGUCACACUGGAACUGAGACACGGUCCAGACUCCUACGGGAGGCAGCAGUGGGGAAUAUUGGACAAUGGGCGAAAGCCUGAUCCAGCCAUGCCGCGUGUGUGAAGAAGGUCUUCGGAUUGUAAAGCACUUUAAGUUGGGAGGAAGGGCAGUUACCUAAUACGUAUCUGUUUUGACGUUACCGACAGAAUAAGCACCGGCUAACUCUGUGCCAGCAGCCGCGGUAAUACAGAGGGUGCAAGCGUUAAUCGGAAUUACUGGGCGUAAAGCGCGCGUAGGUGGUUUGUUAAGUUGAAUGUGAAAUCCCCGGGCUCAACCUGGGAACUGCAUCCAAAACUGGCAAGCUAGAGUAUGGUAGAGGGUGGUGGAAUUUCCUGUGUAGCGGUGAAAUGCGUAGAUAUAGGAAGGAACACCAGUGGCGAAGGCGACCACCUGGACUGAUACUGACACUGAGGUGCGAAAGCGUGGGGAGCAAAC
Molecule: ribosomal RNA, 719 nt
Filed under: Pseudomonas syringae
Lineage: Bacteria; Pseudomonadati; Pseudomonadota; Gammaproteobacteria; Pseudomonadales; Pseudomonadaceae
Description: bacterial SSU rRNA
Rfam family: Bacterial small subunit ribosomal RNA
Source: RNAcentral